Molecule: ribosomal RNA, 1525 nt
Filed under: Staphylococcus aureus
Lineage: Bacteria; Bacillati; Bacillota; Bacilli; Caryophanales; Staphylococcaceae
Description: partial 16S ribosomal RNA
Rfam family: Bacterial small subunit ribosomal RNA
Source: RNAcentral
AACGCUGGCGGCGUGCCUAAUACAUGCAAGUCGAGCGAACGGACGAGAAGCUUGCUUCUCUGAUGUUAGCGGCGGACGGGUGAGUAACACGUGGAUAACCUACCUAUAAGACUGGGAUAACUUCGGGAAACCGGAGCUAAUACCGGAUAAUAUUUUGAACCGCAUGGUUCAAAAGUGAAAGACGGUCUUGCUGUCACUUAUAGAUGGAUCCGCGCUGCAUUAGCUAGUUGGUAAGGUAACGGCUUACCAAGGCAACGAUGCAUAGCCGACCUGAGAGGGUGAUCGGCCACACUGGAACUGAGACACGGUCCAGACUCCUACGGGAGGCAGCAGUAGGGAAUCUUCCGCAAUGGGCGAAAGCCUGACGGAGCAACGCCGCGUGAGUGAUGAAGGUCUUCGGAUCGUAAAACUCUGUUAUUAGGGAAGAACAUAUGUGUAAGUAACUGUGCACAUCUUGACGGUACCUAAUCAGAAAGCCACGGCUAACUACGUGCCAGCAGCCGCGGUAAUACGUAGGUGGCAAGCGUUAUCCGGAAUUAUUGGGCGUAAAGCGCGCGUAGGCGGUUUUUUAAGUCUGAUGUGAAAGCCCACGGCUCAACCGUGGAGGGUCAUUGGAAACUGGAAAACUUGAGUGCAGAAGAGGAAAGUGGAAUUCCAUGUGUAGCGGUGAAAUGCGCAGAGAUAUGGAGGAACACCAGUGGCGAAGGCGACUUUCUGGUCUGUAACUGACGCUGAUGUGCGAAAGCGUGGGGAUCAAACAGGAUUAGAUACCCUGGUAGUCCACGCCGUAAACGAUGAGUGCUAAGUGUUAGGGGGUUUCCGCCCCUUAGUGCUGCAGCUAACGCAUUAAGCACUCCGCCUGGGGAGUACGACCGCAAGGUUGAAACUCAAAGGAAUUGACGGGGACCCGCACAAGCGGUGGAGCAUGUGGUUUAAUUCGAAGCAACGCGAAGAACCUUACCAAAUCUUGACAUCCUUUGACAACUCUAGAGAUAGAGCCUUCCCCUUCGGGGGACAAAGUGACAGGUGGUGCAUGGUUGUCGUCAGCUCGUGUCGUGAGAUGUUGGGUUAAGUCCCGCAACGAGCGCAACCCUUAAGCUUAGUUGCCAUCAUUAAGUUGGGCACUCUAAGUUGACUGCCGGUGACAAACCGGAGGAAGGUGGGGAUGACGUCAAAUCAUCAUGCCCCUUAUGAUUUGGGCUACACACGUGCUACAAUGGACAAUACAAAGGGCAGCGAAACCGCGAGGUCAAGCAAAUCCCAUAAAGUUGUUCUCAGUUCGGAUUGUAGUCUGCAACUCGACUACAUGAAGCUGGAAUCGCUAGUAAUCGUAGAUCAGCAUGCUACGGUGAAUACGUUCCCGGGUCUUGUACACACCGCCCGUCACACCACGAGAGUUUGUAACACCCGAAGCCGGUGGAGUAACCUUUUAGGAGCUAGCCGUCGAAGGUGGGACAAAUGAUUGGGGUGAAGUCGUAACAAGGUAGCCGUAUCGGAAGGUGCGGCUGGAUCACCUCCUUUCUAA